RNAcentral lists this ribosomal RNA (273 nucleotides) under uncultured bacterium. Its description in RNAcentral is "partial 16S ribosomal RNA". It matches the Rfam family "Bacterial small subunit ribosomal RNA", at positions 333 to 603 of the family's 1533-position model. The record is from RNAcentral.
UGUGUCCUACGGGGCGCAGCAGUGAGGAAUAUUGGUCAAUGGUCGGGAAACUGAACCAGCCAAGCCGCGUGAGGGAUGAAGGUACAGAGUAUCGUAAACCUCUUUUGUCAGGGAACAAAGGCGGGGACGUGUCCCCGGAUGAGUGUACCUGAAGAAAAAGCAUCGGCUCACUCCGUGCCAGCAGCCGCGGUAAUACGGAGGAUGCGAGCGUUAUCCGGAUUUAUUGGGUUUAAAGGGUGCGCCGGCGGUCUGUUAAGUCAGCGGUCAAAGCCC